UUCCGGUUGAUCCUGCCGGAGGCUACCGCUAUUGGAGUUCGAUUAAGCCAUGCGAGUCGCGAGUCUUCAAGGACUCGGCGUACCGCUCAGUAACACGUGGGUAACCUGCCCUAUGCUGGGGGAUAACCUCGGGAAACUGAGAAUAAUACCCCAUAGUUCACCACGCCUGGAACGGUGGGUGGAUGAAAGCUCCGGCGGCAUAGGAUGGGCCUGCGGCGUAUCAGGUUGUAGGGGGUGUAAUGUACCCUCUAGCCAUCUACGCGUACGGGUGUUGGGAGACAUCGCCCGGAGAUGGAUUCUGAGACACGAAUCCAGACCCUACGGGGUGCAGCAGGCGCGAAAACUUGGCAAUGCGAGCAAUCGUGACCAGGGAACUCCAAGUGCAUCGGGUAAGACCGAUGCUUUUCUUGACUCUUCAAAGGUCUUGGAAUAAGGGGUGGGUAAGGACGGUGCCAGCCGCCGCGGUAAUACCGGCGCCCCAAGUGGUAGUCGCUUUUAUUGGGCCUAAAACGUCCGUAGCCGGUCUGGUACAUUCGUGGGUAAAUCAACCAGCUCAACUGGUUGAAUUCUGCGAGCACGGCCAGACUUGGGACCGGGAGAGGUGUGGGGUACUCUCAGGGUAGGGGUAAAAUCCUGUCAUCCUGAGAGGACCACCUGUUGCGAAGGCGCCACACUAGAACGGAUCCGACGGUCAGGGACGAAGCCUAGGGGCACGAACCGGAUUAGAUACCCGGGUAGUCCUAGGUGUAAACGCUGUGGACUUGAUGUUGGGGGCGCUCCGAGCGCACUCAGUGUCGAAGCGAAGGUGAUAAGUCCACUGCCUGGGGAGUACGGUCGCAAGGCUGAAACUUAAAGGAAUUGGCGGGGGAGCACCGCAACCUGAGGAUUGUGCGGUUUAAUUGGAUUCAACGCCGG
This 915-nucleotide ribosomal RNA is filed under the name uncultured marine archaeon. RNAcentral describes it as "bacterial SSU rRNA". It matches the Rfam family "Archaeal small subunit ribosomal RNA", at positions 1 to 921 of the family's 1478-position model. The record is from RNAcentral.